CCGCACCCCCGCCGCGCACGCGCGGCCCCGGUGUGGUCUGCAGAGACCCCUGUGGCUCCCCCCCUGCCGCGCACGCGCACGCGCGGCCCCGGUGUGGUCUCCAGAGACCCCCUGUGGCUUCCCCUCUGCCGCGCACGCGCACGCGCGGCCCCGGUGUGGUCUGCAGAGGCUCCCCCCCACCCCGCGCGCCCCCGCGCAUGCGCACACGAGGCCCAGGUGUCCUCAGAGCCCCCCGCGGCCCGAGGCGCGCAGUCCCGCCGCCGCUGCGGGCGUCGGGCCGAAGACGGAGCUGCGGCAGGACCGAGCGGCGGCAGGACCGAGCGGCGGCAGGAGAGGCCCCGCUGCGUUUCCAAAGCCUCAGGCAAAAUGCCCUCCACGGGCUUUGCGAAGCCCACCUAGGAGGCGGGGCCUUUCCUUCCAGGAGGCCGCCCGGUCCGGAGCUCGCGUCCGGCUGAGACUGAGCCCCAACCCGGUCCCACGCGCCGACCCCCGCCCCUCAGCCCCCACUCUCCUCAGAAGCCCAACUCAGGAAAAGUGGAGAAACUCCGCUUUCCAGGGCGCCCAGCGACCGGGACCCCAGCGGCGCCGGCGGGCUCAGAAGGCGGGUCACGAGACAGCACGUGCGACACGGUCUUGUCUGCGAGGACACACGGACACUGUGCACAGAAACCCGGAGGGUUCGAAGCCACCAGAAGUAUGCAACACCAGACUCUGUUUUGGGAUGACUGGAUUAUAGGAAAAUAAUCACAGCCACCAGUGGGAAGAGAGUCAGUGGAUGGAUCCUGGGCAUGACCUUGCUCCUUAGUGACCCCAUGACCGUCCCCCUGGAG
This 830-nucleotide long non-coding RNA is filed under the name Canis lupus dingo (dingo). RNAcentral's name for it is "lncRNA (ENSCAFG00020001971.1)". Lineage: Eukaryota; Metazoa; Chordata; Mammalia; Carnivora; Canidae. The record is from RNAcentral.